This 497-nucleotide ribosomal RNA is filed under the name uncultured bacterium. RNAcentral's name for it is "partial 16S ribosomal RNA". It matches the Rfam family "Bacterial small subunit ribosomal RNA", at positions 28 to 507 of the family's 1533-position model. The record is from RNAcentral.
GAUGAACGCUGGCGGCGUGCCUAAUACAUGCAAGUCGAGCGAACAGACGAGGAGCUUGCUCCUCUGACGUUAGCGGCGGACGGGUGAGUAACACGUGGAUAACCUACCUAUAAGACUGGGAUAACUUCGGGAAACCGGAGCUAAUACCGGAUAAUAUAUUGAACCGCAUGUUUCAAUAGUGAAAGACGGUUUUGCUGUCACUUAUAGAUGGAUCCGCGCCGCAUUAGCUAGUUGGCAAGGUAACGGCUUACCAAGGCAACGAUGCGUAGCCGACCUGAGAGGGUGAUCGGCCACACUGGAACUGAGACACGGUCCAGACUCCUACGGGAGGCAGCAGUAGGGAAUCUUCCGCAAUGGGCGAAAGCCUGACGGAGCAACGCCGCGCGAGUGAUGAAGGUCUUCGGAUCGUAAAACUCUGUUAUUAGGGAAGAACAAAUGUGUAAGUAACUAUGCACGUCUUGACGGUACCUAAUCAGAAAGCCACGGCUAACUACGUG